ACUGGAGGACUGAUCAGAAUGAGUCUGAAGAGUGAGACUCAGGUGACAGUGGCCUCCGAACAGGAAAGCGGUGGUGAGAGCUGUCCUGCUUGCAGAAAGGCAAAGGGCUGACUGCGCCAUCCGACACGU
This 129-nucleotide small nucleolar RNA is filed under the name Buceros rhinoceros silvestris. RNAcentral's name for it is "Small Cajal body specific RNA 4". It matches the Rfam family "Small Cajal body specific RNA 4". From Rfam's summary of the family: scaRNAs are a specific class of small nuclear RNAs which localise to the Cajal bodies and guide the modification of RNA polymerase II transcribed spliceosomal RNAs U1, U2, U4, U5 and U12. ACA26 belongs to the H/ACA box class of guide RNAs as it has the predicted hairpin-hinge-hairpin-tail structure, conserved H/ACA-box motifs and is found associated with GAR1. The record is from Rfam by way of RNAcentral. Lineage: Eukaryota; Metazoa; Chordata; Aves; Bucerotiformes; Bucerotidae.